Molecule: ribosomal RNA, 463 nt
Filed under: uncultured bacterium
Lineage: Bacteria
Description: partial 16S ribosomal RNA
Rfam family: Bacterial small subunit ribosomal RNA
Source: RNAcentral
CUACGGGGCGCUCCAGUAGGGAAUAUUGUGCAAUGGGGGAAACCCUGACACAGCCAUGCCGCGUGUGUGAAGAAGGCCCUAGGGUUGUAAAGCACUUUCAGUAGGGAGGAACUAGCACAGCUAAUAACUGUGUGAAAUGACGUUACCUACAGAAGAAGUACCGGCUAACUCCGUGCCAGCAGCCGCGGUAAUACGGAGGGUACGAACGUUAAUCGGAAUUACUGGGCGUAAAGCGCGCGUAGGUGGUUUGUUAAGUGGGAUGUGAAAGCCCUGGGCUCAACCUGGGAAUUGCAUUCCAAACUGUCGAACUAGAGUACGAUAGAGGGGGGUAGAAUUCAGAGUGUAGCGGUGAAAUGCGUAGAUAUUCUGAGGAAUACCGGUGGCGAAGGCGGCCCCCUGGAUUGAUACUGACACUGAGGCGCGAAAGCGUGGGGAGCAAACAGGAUUAGAUACCCCCGUAGUC